This is a long non-coding RNA of Oryzias melastigma (Indian medaka), 1100 nucleotides long. RefSeq lists it as uncharacterized. Lineage: Eukaryota; Metazoa; Chordata; Actinopteri; Beloniformes; Adrianichthyidae. The transcript is spliced from 2 exons. The record is from RefSeq and is a predicted model, not a curated record.
ACUUGUUUUAAGAGUUUGGUAAAGGAAAUUACAGUUCAAGAAAUCACUGAUUGACGUGUGCUAACAUCAAGAAAUCUCUUGAACACUUGUCAAAAUAAAAUCCACUCUUUCAUGGCAUGCUUUUUAUGCUCCUUAUGAUAUUGAUUUUACCAAGUGCUCUCGAAAAUGUGCUCAUUCAAUCUGUGUUUACAUUCUUAGUGAACCAAAAACUUAUUUGGACCUUCACCAUCCCAGACUUAAUGAAUGUGUUUAUCCGCGAGAGGAGAAGGGCCAAUUUUGAAAGCAUUAGCGAAAAAGUGUGAAAGGCAAACAAAGGGGGGAAAAAAAGGAAAAAAAAGAGCUUCGACAGUCAAAAUUUUCUCAGAAGACGUUGAGCUGAGAAGUUCUGUAGCUAUAGCAACUGGCAAGCAGCAUCUCCUGCAGGGAAUGAAAACAGGAUUCAUGAUUCAUUUCCAAACAACAACAGACUGAGACUCCAAAUACACUGAGGUAAACUGCCACCCCCAGAAAGUCAGGCUUACAGCUGUGAGACGGAGGGACCAAGGCCAGGGCAAAUAACAACAACCACUUUCAUCCGCAAACUCAACUGCAUCUCUUCUGGUCAUUGCUGUCCGUUUGCCUCCAGCAAGCUUAGCUAUGCUUACUUGCAAGGACAAAUUGCUCCAAGACAGUUUUGCCAACUCUCCUCUGCCCCCUUCUCCACCUGAACCAUGCGAUGUCGGGGACCUGGCUCUACCACCAUCAGCGUCUGGGCUCUGGGAGUUUUUACAUCUACGAUCCAAGCGUAUCCCACCAGGCUAAAGAUGUCAUCUACCCAGAGCUUUACCACCAGCAAGACUAUGGCUAAUUCAUGCACUUUUUGUUUCACAAAUAUAUCUUUCUUCGCAUUUCAAGAUCUCUCCUUACAGAAAUGUAAUUGUAUUGUUAUCUGUCACAUUGUUUUAGUAAAUGCUGUCUAAUGGCCAGGACUCCCUCGGAAAAGACGUUUUUGACUUCCUUCCACUUAAAUAACAUUUUAAAAAUGUUAAAAAAAAAGGAAAAUUGUAGAGGGUCAUUAUAUUGUAACUUAAAAAGAAUAAAUGAGCAAUUAGAAAAAAUAA